GUUCCAUUUUGAUUGAGCAGAACUGGUCUUGCUCAACGUCUUGCCUCUUGCAAAUGACUUCUCUGUGCUCCACUUCCCUGGCAUCUCUCUGGAUCUGCAGAUCUUUCUCUGAGACCUUUUUGGGUAACCCCUACUAAGCAAAGUACCACAGGGAAGAGCUUGGAACUCUGAUUGCAUGUCUGAUGUGCCAAACAGGAGCUCAGCACUGAUAAUUGAAUUCCUGAACCCUACAAAUGGC
Molecule: long non-coding RNA, 238 nt
Organism: Sceloporus undulatus (fence lizard)
Lineage: Eukaryota; Metazoa; Chordata; Lepidosauria; Squamata; Phrynosomatidae
Exons: 3
Source: RefSeq, a predicted model, not a curated record